Molecule: non-coding RNA, 26 nt
Filed under: Homo sapiens (human)
Lineage: Eukaryota; Metazoa; Chordata; Mammalia; Primates; Hominidae
Source: RNAcentral
UGCUGAUCUUGAUGAAUAGUGCAGGU